Molecule: ribosomal RNA, 320 nt
Filed under: uncultured eukaryote
Lineage: Eukaryota
Description: partial 18S ribosomal RNA
Rfam family: Eukaryotic small subunit ribosomal RNA
Source: RNAcentral
CCCUUAGAUGUUCUGGGCUGCACGCGUGCUACAAUGGCGCUUGCAACAAGUCUUGCCAACCCGAUAGGGUGAGCGGAUCUUUGAAGAGGCGUCGUGAUCGGGACAGUUGAUUGCAAUUAUUCGGCUCGAACGAGGAAUUCCUUGUAAUCGCGAUUCAUCAUAUCGCGCUGAAUACGUCCCUGCCCUUUGUACACACCGCCCGUCGCUCCUACCGAUUGAGCGAUCCGGUGAAUGUUUUGGACUGGCGUCAGAAGCGGUUCGCUCCUGACACUACGAAAUUUUGUAAACCUUAUCGCUUAGAGGAAGGAAAAGUCGUAACA